This 253-nucleotide ribosomal RNA is filed under the name uncultured bacterium. Its description in RNAcentral is "partial 16S ribosomal RNA". It matches the Rfam family "Bacterial small subunit ribosomal RNA", at positions 524 to 776 of the family's 1533-position model. The record is from RNAcentral.
UACGUAGGUGGCAAGCGUUGUCCGGAUUUACUGGGCGUAAAGGGCUCGUAGGUGGCCAACUAAGUCAGACGUGAAAUCCCUCGGCUUAACCGGGGAACUGCGUCUGAUACUGGAUGGCUUGAGUUUGGGAGAGGGAUGCGGAAUUCCAGGUGUAGCGGUGAAAUGCGUAGAUAUCUGGAGGAACACCGGUGGCGAAGGCGGCAUCCUGGACCGACACUGACGCUGAGGAGCGAAAGCCAGGGGAGCAAACGGG